RNAcentral lists this RNase P RNA (342 nucleotides) under uncultured Enterocloster sp. RNAcentral's name for it is "Bacterial RNase P class A". It matches the Rfam family "Bacterial RNase P class A". From Rfam's summary of the family: Ribonuclease P (RNase P) is a ubiquitous endoribonuclease, found in archaea, bacteria and eukarya as well as chloroplasts and mitochondria. Its best characterised activity is the generation of mature 5'-ends of tRNAs by cleaving the 5'-leader elements of precursor-tRNAs. Cellular RNase Ps are ribonucleoproteins. Lineage: Bacteria; Bacillati; Bacillota; Clostridia; Lachnospirales; Lachnospiraceae. The record is from RNAcentral.
AGCAGGCCGGAUGGCCGCUGCCGCGCAGACGAAAGGGCGCGGGAGAGGAAAGUCCGGGCUUCACAGGGCAGGAUGCCAGAUAACGUCUGGCGAAGGCGACUUCAGGGACAGUGCAACAGAAAUAAACCGCCGUCCUUUGGACGGUAAGGGUGGAAAGGCGGUGUAAGAGACCACCGCCCGGCUGGUAACAGACGGGGCACAUGUAAACCCCAUCCGAAGCAAGACCGAGCAGGAGGCAUAUGGCGGCCCGUCAGCCUCCGGGUAGGUUGCUUGAGGCUGCUGGCGACGGCAGUCCUAGAUAGAUGGCCAUCCAAGACAUAACCCGGCUUACAGGCUUACUCA